This 60-nucleotide transfer RNA is filed under the name Hyalella tiwanaku. Its description in RNAcentral is "tRNA-Ala". The record is from RNAcentral. Lineage: Eukaryota; Metazoa; Arthropoda; Malacostraca; Amphipoda; Hyalellidae.
AAGAUAGUAGUUUAUAAAGAACAUUUGUUUUGCACCCAAAAAGUAAUUGUAUCUAUCUUU